CCUUCUCCCAGCAAUUCACUGCCGUAAAUUGGCUUUUUUGCAUGUUUGCAUUUUCAUCAUAAUUUUGCUGCUGCACAGCCCCAAACACAGUGUUGCAUAGCUGUAAUGUGUCCUCGGCCCCAUAAGGCAGUAGUGGCUAAUGGGAACAUGUUAGGGAAGGUUUGUUCAGCCUGAGGCAUGAAGCUGACAGAUGUGGGUCAAUGGUGAAGAAUCUACAGGGUAUGUUAGAUAUGCUGUUUAGGGACAGAGAGGUAGCCCAGUUGGUACAGUGUUUACCUAAUACCCAGGAAGUUCUGGCUUCAAUCCCCAGUACACUUAAAAUCAGGCGUGGUAAUACAUGACUUUGAUUCUAGCACUCUGGAGGUAGAAGGAUAAGGUCAAAGUCCUCUGUGUAUGUAUGUAUAUAUCUCCUUUGUUGUCCUUUCUUUCCUUUCCUUUCUUUUCUAUCUAUGUAGAGUCUGAGGCUAUCCUGGUGGUCUUAUAUAUAAGGUCCUGCUGGAAGGUAGGAUAAGAAGGAAGAGUGGUGUUACAGCAGAAGCACAUGUGUGCUAACAAGUCCAAGCAGAGUGACUUUUAGCUCUAAUGUAGACGAUCGCAUCCAUCCUUUUGCCCAUAGUCCUAACUCCAGGGAAGAGAGGUGUACACUGUAUCUCUGUCACCAUGAAUCAUCUGGGACUUUGGGAAGAAACCACAGGAUACAAAUUCUGGACUUAGUCUAGGUCAGGUUGCCUGAUGAGGUGGGAGCCUGGAGCUGUGUCUCCAGAGCUAAGGGACUCCACAUGUCAGCUGACAUAAAUAGGCUUUACCAAGUGUCUGCUCUGCUCUUUUUCAGGGUCAAGGGGCUGUGAGGCAGACAUAGGAGGAGCUGGGAUGGAGUGGUGAUAAUUGUGGUUCUUGGAGUCUGACUUAGGGAGGCUAUGCUGGGGAGCUGAUGAGGCUCUUGCAGGAAUUGCUGGAAGACUAUGUCCAAGCACAGAGGUCAAACAGGGCCUGCCAGUGCUGGGGUAGUGCUCUAACAGUAUCUCACUCCAACCUAGCAGCCGCACUGACAUCCUUCCCGAACUAGGAACUGGAGUUUGGUCCUGCGCCUGGGGCACAACUACACAGCCAAUGAACAAUGGACAGAAUUACAUACUUUAUUCAUACAUUUCACAGUGGAAUCUCACAGCUCAGAACAGACACAAAACAGGAAAUAACCAACCAACAGCAAAGACAGGGAGAGCUAAGGAGGGAACAUGUUCUCACACUUCAAGGUGCUUGUACAUUUAGUCUUGUAAGUAGGUACCUUAUGGCAUCUAAGAAGGUCCCUAGAGUGUUGUUCCCAGAGGAAGCAUGAGGGAACUCUUUACAUGGAGUGGCAACUAUUUCCUUGGUGGGAGACCCUCCCCAGCAAAGACGGAGUCCCAGCUGUGACCCAUUCACUGCCUUCUGAAGAGCCAGGCACAGAGGAGGAGGCAGAGCCUCACCAUAGAAGGUUGUUGAAGACAAAGGAAGUCGGGGACAAAGCCACGUGGAUUAGCUGUUCGCCUGUGCCAACAGGAAGAAGAGACGAGGUUACUCUCCUAAGACAGACAAAGCUGUCUUUUUCCCCUGAUGAUCUGAGAAUCCGAGUCUGACUCAGGCCUCAGAGACUUCUGCAGGUCAAGCUCAGGCUACAGGUGCAGGAAGCACAUGUGCCUCUGCCCAGAAGCCUCACUUGGUUCCAGCUACUCUCUACCUGGAGAGGUCCUCCAUUCUUACCUGUGGUACCCCUCUCACUCAGCACUCUCUUUCCUCAAGGCCAUGCUGAGUGGCCUUCAGGCUUAAAUAUAUCUGCUGGUCAGUGCCCUCCAUACUGCCCCUCCCUCUAGUCUCCUCUUUGUGCCCCCCAGCAUAGUCUGGUUUGUCUGUUCCCACAUCUUCUUUUGCCAGGAGGACUUCCCCUCAAGAGAUGUGACACUGUGAACUCAGGAGCACUUGGAUUGACAUGAUCAGGCUUCACGAAAAUGC
Non-coding RNA from Rattus norvegicus (Norway rat), 1989 nucleotides. NCBI's taxonomy places the organism in Eukaryota, Metazoa, Chordata, Mammalia, Rodentia, Muridae. The record is from RefSeq and is a predicted model, not a curated record.